This 505-nucleotide ribosomal RNA is filed under the name uncultured bacterium. Its description in RNAcentral is "partial 16S ribosomal RNA". It matches the Rfam family "Bacterial small subunit ribosomal RNA", at positions 28 to 507 of the family's 1533-position model. The record is from RNAcentral.
GACGAACGCUGGCGGCGUGCCUAAUACAUGCAAGUAGAACGCACAGUUUAUACCGUAGCUUGCUCCACCAUAGACUGUGAGUUGCGAACGGGUGAGUAACGCGUAGGUAACCUGCCUGGUAGCGGGGGAUAACUAUUGGAAACGAUAGCUAAUACCGCAUAAUAUUAAUUAUUUCAUGAUAAUUAAUUGAAAGGUGCAAUUGCACCACUACCAGAUGGACCUGCGUUGUAUUAGCUAGUAGGUGAGGUAACGGCUCACCUAGGCGACGAUACAUAGCCGACCUGAGAGGGUGAUCGGACACACUGGGACUGAGACACGGGCAAGACUCCUACGGGAGGCAGCAGUAGGGAAUAUUAGGCAAUGGACGAAAGUCUGACCGAGCAACGCCGCGUGAGGGAAGAAGGUUUUCGGAUCGUAAAGCUCUGUUGUAAGAGAAGAACGGGUGUGAGAGUGGAAAGUUCACACUGUGACGGUAUCUUACCAGAAAGGGACGGCUAACUACGUG